UGUUAGAGGGAGUGGGGGUAUAGUGACAGUAACAGAGGGAUUGAGGGCCUGCUCAGUGAGUUUACAUGUUAGAGGGAGUGGGGUAUAGUGACACAGUAACAGAGGGAUUGAGGGCCCUGCUCAGUGAGUUUACAUGUUAGAGGGAGUGGGGUAUAGUGACACAGUAACAGAGGGAUUGAGGGCCUGCUCAGUGAGUUUACAUGUUAGAGGGAGUGGGGUAUAGUGACACAGUAACAGAGGGAUUGAGGGCCUGCUCAGUGAGCUUACAUGUUAGAGGGAGUGGGGUAUAGUGACACAGUAACAGAGGGAUUGAGGGCCCUGCUCAAUGAGUUUACAUGUUAGAGGGAGUGGGGUAUAGUGACACAGUAACAGAGGGAUUGAGGGCCCUGCUCAGUGAGUUUACAUGUUAGAGGGAGUGGGGUAUAGUGACAGUAACAGAGGGAUUGAGGGCCUGCUCAGUGAGUUUACAUGU
Pelobates cultripes (western spadefoot toad) is the source of this 472-nucleotide non-coding RNA. NCBI's taxonomy places the organism in Eukaryota, Metazoa, Chordata, Amphibia, Anura, Pelobatidae. The record is from the annotation of a GenBank genome assembly.